GGGACUGUGGCUUAGUGGUAGAGUGCUUGCCUAGCAUGCAUGAAGCCCUGGGUUUGAUUCCUCAGCACCA
RNAcentral lists this transfer RNA (70 nucleotides) under Dipodomys ordii (Ord's kangaroo rat). It matches the Rfam family "tRNA". Rfam says of the family: Transfer RNA (tRNA) molecules are approximately 80 nucleotides in length. Their secondary structure includes four short double-helical elements and three loops (D, anti-codon, and T loops). Lineage: Eukaryota; Metazoa; Chordata; Mammalia; Rodentia; Heteromyidae. The record is from Rfam by way of RNAcentral.